Molecule: long non-coding RNA, 606 nt
Organism: Centruroides sculpturatus (bark scorpion)
Lineage: Eukaryota; Metazoa; Arthropoda; Arachnida; Scorpiones; Buthidae
Exons: 3
Source: RefSeq, a predicted model, not a curated record
UAUAAAUUUCUAAAAAUAUCUAAAAGAGAAGAUUACACUGUAUAUACACUGAAGAAAUUCUAUUACGAGAUGAACGUUUCCUGUGUAACUAAAAUUGGUUGUCAGGAGGUUGUAAGGGGUUAAUUAAUUAAAGAUAACGAAGAUGGCCGAGGUCACCUUUCGGCAUAAAACCUUGAAAAUGAGAAACAAGCUUGUAUAACUAGUCGUAUCUAAUAUAUUAUCUGCAAAUGAACGGAAUAUUAAAAUUAUUAGCAACAAUAAACGGAAAGAAAAAAAUCAUACAUCCUGUUUGGGAUUAAUUUUGAUAAGCCCAUAGUGAAUUUGUCAGGCCCACAAUGGGGCGGCCAGAUGGUGAGAUACAGCCUGAGAUAGACCACCCUGAAAAAUUCCUGGGGUUUUCCUAUCGCCAAAUUCAUUUCUAGAUCAUCAAAGCUGAUCUGCAAAAUGCUAGAACCGGACUAAAAAAAGGAAUGUGGUUGAAAUGACAAAAGAGCAUCAACAGGAGGAGAUCUUUUUAGAGGUGUUCUUAAGCAGCUAAAAGGAAUCUGAUAAGAGUCUCCCAACACGAGUCUUUUUGUGUCCAUCACAGGCAAAGACCGGUUCUCG